GGAGCGGCCGAUAUCGGAUUAGCUAGUUGGUGGGGUAACGGCUCACCAAGGCGACGAUCCGUAGCUGGUUUGAGAGGACGACCAGCCACACUGGGACUGAGAUACGGCCCAGACUCCUACGGGAGGCAGCAGUGGGGAAUAUUGCACAAUGGGCGAAAGCCUGAUGCAGCGACGCCGCGUGAGGGAUGGAGGCCUUCGGGUUGUAAACCUCUUUCGCUCAUGGUCAAGCCGCAACUUAGGGUUGUGGUGAGGGUAGUGGGUAAAGAAGCGCCGGCUAACUACGUGCCAGCAGCCGCGGUAAUACGUAGGGCGCGAGCGUUGUCCGGAAUUAUUGGGCGUAAAGGGCUUGUAGGCGGUUGGUCGCGUCUGCCGUGAAAUCCUCUGGCUUAACUGGGGGCGUGCGGUGGGUACGGGCUGACUUGAGUGCGGUAGGGGAGACUGGAACUCCUGGUGUAGCGGUGGAAUGCGCAGAUAUCAGGAAGAACACCGGUGGCGAAGGCGGGUCUCUGGGCCGUUACUGACGCUGAGGAGCGAAAGCGUGGGGAGCGAACAGGAUUAGAUACCCUGGUAGUCCACGCUGUAAACGUUGGGCACUAGGUGUGGGGGCCACCCGUGGUUUCUGCGCCGUAGCUAACGCUUUAAGUGCCCCGCCUGGGGAGUACGGCCGCAAGGCUAAAACUCAAAGGAAUUGACGGG
This 696-nucleotide ribosomal RNA is filed under the name uncultured bacterium. RNAcentral describes it as "bacterial SSU rRNA". It matches the Rfam family "Bacterial small subunit ribosomal RNA", at positions 223 to 917 of the family's 1533-position model. The record is from RNAcentral.